This 497-nucleotide ribosomal RNA is filed under the name uncultured bacterium. RNAcentral's name for it is "partial 16S ribosomal RNA". It matches the Rfam family "Bacterial small subunit ribosomal RNA", at positions 28 to 507 of the family's 1533-position model. The record is from RNAcentral.
GAUGAACGCUGGCGGCGUGCCUAAUACAUGCAAGUCGAGCGAACAGACGAGGAGCUUGCUCCUCUGACGUUAGCGGCGGACGGGUGAGUAACACGUGGAUAACCUACCUAUAAGACUGGGAUAACUUCGGGAAACCGGCGCUAAUACCGGAUAAUAUAUUGAACCGCAUGGUUUAAUAGUGAAAGACGGUUUUGCUGUCACUUAUAGAUGGAUCCGCGCGGCAUUAGCUAGUUGGUAAGGUCACGGCUUACCAAGGCAACGAUGCGUAGCCGACCUGAGAGGGUGAUCGGCCACACUGGAACUGAGGGACGGUCCAGACUCCUACAGUAGGCAGCGGGAGGGAAGCUUCCGCAAAGGGCGAAAGCCUGACGGAGCAACGCCGCGUGAGUGAUGAAGGUCUUCGGAUCGUAAAACUCUGUUAUUAGGGAAGAACAAAUGUGUAAGUAACUAUGCACGUCUUGACGGUACCUAAUCAGAAAGCCACGGCUAACUACGUG